CAUAUUAAAAUAACAUCCUAAACACAACAGUGGCGGCUGAAUAAGGGCAUACAACAUUGACCGAAUUGGGAAAAGGAGAGCUACGAUCAACCUCAGAUUUUGACCAUUCCAAAACUUUGAGGAAGGGCAAGGCACUUGCGGACUAACUACUUUUAGAUUCGUUGGUUAAGAAAGUGUUCUAGAGGCUCAGACAUGACCUCACCUCUAGAGUUUGAUAGUAGAUCUUGAUCCAAGGGCGAGUACUCUGUCUCCAAGCUGCCAUGGGUCAUCUUAUUUGUUCUUGUCCAUCUUUCGGACAAUGAAAACAUUCUUUAUUUACUUUAUUUUUGAA
Long non-coding RNA from Capsicum annuum, 331 nucleotides. RefSeq lists it as uncharacterized. The record is from RefSeq and is a predicted model, not a curated record. Lineage: Eukaryota; Viridiplantae; Streptophyta; Magnoliopsida; Solanales; Solanaceae. The transcript has 3 exons.